UCAGUCGACUCCUACGGGGAGGCAGCAGUGGGGAAUAUUGCGCAAUGGGGGGCAACCCUGACGCAGCCAUGCCGCGUGAAUGAAGAAGGCCUUCGGGUUGUAAAGUUCUUUCGGGUGAUGAGGAAGGGAGUUAUGUUAAUAGCAUAAUUCAUUGACGUUAGUCACAGAAGAAGCACCGGCUAACUCCGUGCCAGCAGCCGCGGUAAUACGGAGGGUGCGAGCGUUAAUCGGAAUAACUGGGCGUAAAGGGCACGCAGGCGGUGACUUAAGUGAGGUGUGAAAUCCCCGGGCUUAACCUGGGAAUUGCAUUUCAGACUGGGUCGCUAGAGUACUUUAGGGAGGGGUAGAAUUCCACGUGUAGCGGUGAAAUGCGUAGAGAUGUGGAGGAAUACCGAAGGCGAAGGCAGCCCUUGGGAAUGUACUGACGCUCAUGUGCGAAAGCGUGGGGAGCAAACAGGAUUAGAUACCCUGGUAG
RNAcentral lists this ribosomal RNA (475 nucleotides) under uncultured bacterium. RNAcentral describes it as "bacterial SSU rRNA". It matches the Rfam family "Bacterial small subunit ribosomal RNA", at positions 328 to 793 of the family's 1533-position model. The record is from RNAcentral.